UACGAGGGGGGCGAGCGUUGUUCGGAAUUAUUGGGCGUAAAGGGUGCGUAGGCGGUUUGGUAAGUCUUAUGUGAAAUCUACAGGCUCAACUUGUAGUCUGCAUGAGAAACUGCCGGGCUUGAGUAUGGGAGAGGUGAGUGGAAUUCCUGGUGUAGCGGUGAAAUGCGUAGAGAUCGGGAGGAACACCAGAGGCGAAGGCGGCGACCUGGACAGGUACUGACACUCAACUGCGAAAGCGUGGGGAGCAAACAGG
RNAcentral lists this ribosomal RNA (253 nucleotides) under uncultured bacterium. Its description in RNAcentral is "partial 16S ribosomal RNA". It matches the Rfam family "Bacterial small subunit ribosomal RNA", at positions 524 to 776 of the family's 1533-position model. The record is from RNAcentral.